UAACAGCUGAAAGGAGGUGAUCCAGUGUCGAGAGAGAUGUUGGAGAAAGGUGUCGGAACAGUUCGGAGGAUGAUCUGCUAGGGCAGCCCUUGGCAGACCCAAAGUCCGAAUUGGCGAGAGUCUGAACCGACGCCCGCCUCCCGAGUUCUCGAAGGGCCGUCCCGAUUUGGGCGGCCCU
This 178-nucleotide small RNA is filed under the name Primorskyibacter sedentarius. Its description in RNAcentral is "caulobacter sRNA CC2171". Lineage: Bacteria; Pseudomonadati; Pseudomonadota; Alphaproteobacteria; Rhodobacterales; Roseobacteraceae. The record is from RNAcentral.